Molecule: long non-coding RNA, 3743 nt
Organism: Macadamia integrifolia
Lineage: Eukaryota; Viridiplantae; Streptophyta; Magnoliopsida; Proteales; Proteaceae
Exons: 2
Source: RefSeq, a predicted model, not a curated record
AGGUGGAGCUGUAAGCAAUAUUAGAAAUGGAUAAAUGGAGGAAUUGGGUGGUGGAGGAGGAGAUGAGGGUAACAUUUAAUUUUAAACUAUCCCAUAAGAAGCAAAUACGACCAUCAGGGUGGUCAGAGUGGUUGGAUAGAAAUUUCCAGCCUGGAGCAAUGGUGGAGACAAUUCUGCUCAUGUUAGAUUCUUUGACAUGGGUUUCAAGAAGACAACAAAAAGGAGACCUGAACUCUUUGAUGAGCGACCUAACCGCAGCAUUUUUGGAAGGGGAAUUAAGGCCCUUGGAAUUCCACACAAUGCCUUGGGACAUUAGGCACAUUUAGAGGGCAAAUAAUGCUCCAGAGGAACAGUGUCGAGGGACCCAGGAGCAAGCCGAGAUCUGCUUCGCCUUUGGUAGGAGCAAGGAGCAGUUGGGUGAGAGGAUGCAGGGGCAAAAGGAGUCGGUUGUAACAGGCCUAGAGGGGUGGCAUUCUUCUAUCUGCCUUUUCUCAGAUUACGCUUGGAAUUGGCAGGGCAGGAGAGGUUGUCGGGCAAAGAAGAAGAGGCAGCAGUGUUGUGGGUCAAAAUGUUAUCCAAACCCAGGUCCAUAGGAGACUGGGCCUGGGUCGAGGGCUGGUUAAGUGAGAUGUGGUUCUGAGAAGGGUUAGGAAUUUCAAAAGGGAGGUUUAAGCGGAUGGACUCAGUAAUGGGUGUAGCAAGGAAGGAUGCUCUCACAGGUAACGGCCGAGAGACGACAGGCCCAUCAUCAAGGGUAGAAUGGGGCUUAGAAAUAGUGAUAGAGGCACGUGCUUCCUCCGAAAUGUCAAGUGGGGAGUUGCCGAGGGUUCCGAUAAAGGGGGGAAGGAGACCUUUUUAAGGAUGCCGACUUCGAAGUCUUCUUCGGUGCAGGAGAGGUCUCGGAGCAAGACUCGUCAAAGUUAGAAAGGUAAUCAUUGGUAGAAGCGUCUGAAGUAGUAGAAGAGGAGUCCGCAGAAGAGGAGCUACCGUCGAAGCUUUUUGAGGAAUCGUCUGACCCACAGACUGUAGACUUAACAGGGGGAGAUCGCACGUCACCAUCAAUCGAUCCUUUAAGCACUCGUGGAUCAACGAAGCUAUCGGUCACGUCUUCCAAGGCCGAAAAUCUGUUGUGACCAAUAAGCAAGAACCGAGCCAAGUUCGAUGGAUCUCCGGCGAUGGAAGGUGUUGGCCAACGGCAACCUGCAAAGCAGGCUUUCUUCUUCGAUUCCUCCCUCUUCCUCUCGCUGGUGACAGAAAAGAAGAUCCAAGGCCAUUCUCAGUCAUCAGGGAGUGAUCUCAUCGAUAGAUGGGCCCAAGGGGGCAGGGGUCGUCGGCGUUCGAGUCAUCCAGGGGGCAGUGGCAGCUUUCUUCAAACAAGCACUGGUGUCAUGCCCAAAAAUGUUGCAGACAAGGCAUUGAGGGGGCUUCCAUUCAUAAUGGACUGACUGCUGGAAGGAGAAAUCUUCUCCGUCCUAGACGCAGAUGGAGGAGGGAAGAGCAUCUACAGCAGUGACUCAACACAUAUUCGUUCAAAGGCAAGACAGUCUUUCCUAUUAGUCUUGCAUCAGAGCACACAGGGGUUCCCAAAACCGAACCAAUGGCACUCAAACCAUCUGAACACCAGAAAUGAAGGGGACAGUCCAAGGAGGGAGACCCAGAUGGGGAUGGUGGAGAAAUCGACUCGAUUCAACAAAAGAUGGACGUGCCAAGGUCUGAGAAACAUUGGAGUACGCCCAACAAACCAUGGACCCCUUUCCAGAAUUCUCACCUUAUCCUACUCCUUAGAGAACCUAAGCAUGAUGUAGCCAUGGUCAAGUAGGAAUGCAUCAACCAAGCCCACUGGUCGCCAUUGCCUCAAGAGGGACAUCUUGACAAGGUGGAAGGGAGGCGCUUGCCUAAGAAGUGUCCAACGAGGGAGUUAUUCCAUUGGGAUGCUUUGGAGUCCAAAAGACCCUUGGGGCAAACAGCAACAAUUGAUUCCCCAAGCUUGGUUAGAGGGACGAAGUGCAAUGGGAGGCUAUUGGCAGGAGGGGAGAAAGAUUGUUUGAAGUGGGAGUUCCAGGGGGCAGCAAGGGGGGAAGCUAGCAAUGAAGAAGGUGAUGAAGGGGAGGGAUCGAUGCUAGGGAUAGAGGAUCCCGACAAGGGGAGAGCCCCUGCCAAGGGGACAGCCAUCGGAUCAGGCUAGAGACUCCAUCGGUUCAGGCAAGAGACUUAACUCUCAGAAUGAGAACUAACAUAUCUUGUAGAAGAGCUUGAAUCUAAUGUGAGGUCAAGCGGUGUGAAUGGAGGUAUGUCGAUUUUGCAGUUGUCAGGGAACUAAGGACAUGCAUAAAUCAAGGACUAGCAUGUCAUAUGGGUGUAAUAAUGUGUGUGGCUGAGAUCAGUCAUUACUACUAAGAUAUGUGGCCAUGUUAGCAACACUAAGUGGAAAUCCGAUGUUGCAACUCAAUGGAUAAGAAUGGUUGAAUCAAUGUAAUGGGAGACUAUUGAGUAUGAACGAGAAUGUUAUCCAAUUGGCUCAAGGUACUGAUAAGUCAGGUGGUUGGAAUGCUGAAAAUGAAAAUAAGCCAAUACAAGAAUAGUAUCACUUAUAAGUUGCUGCUACUAGAGUGAGAUUGAUCCUCGAAGAUAAGCAACUCUGUAAAUUUCAAGGACAAAAUUUUUGUAAGGGGGGAAAUUUUAACACCCUAAACUGGAAGCAGUUGAGCUCAGUCUGAGGACCUACCUAGCUGGCACAUAAGAUAGGCUGCCUGUUGUAGUUGAUUCACUUAUACAGCAGAAGAGAGCGAAAUUUGGCAACCCUCUAGUUAGGAAGAGGUGUAAAAUGGCCAAAAUAGGAGUCGGACCAAUCCUAUAUUGGGUGCACUCAAGAACCCAGGAGAUAGGACAGCUAAAGAACUAAAAAUAAAUAAACCGGCAGGUUACCCUGUUGUCAACCAGCCAGCCGGUUUGGCUGACAGAAUGCGGGAAAACUAUUUUUCCUGUGGGGGGCCCACAUGCCUACACCCCUGAGCCUCGCACUUACCCAAUCUGUAGAGGACCUAAUACUGACCAAAUCCAACCUAACAGGUUAGCCUUUGGUGGGGUCCGUCAAUAAGAAUUUAAUUUUAAUUAGUUUUAAUGUUAUAUUUCUCAAAAUCGGUUUUUAAAAGUAAUUUUGGUGUGGUCAGCCAAAUGGGCCCUAAGGACCAUUUGGCUGAAUUAUAAAACAAUGGAAUCCCCUCUGUUACUUCAUUUUUCGGGUGCACUAUUCGGUGGAGCAGAAAAAGAAAGAAGAAGAAGAAGAAGAAGAAGAGAAGGAGCUGCUGUCCCUGCUCCUACAGCCUUACUCCUACUGCAUGCGGCUAUUGAUGCUGCUGACCCUGUUGUAGCUGCUGUCCAAGGGUUCAGUUACUACUUGUGCAGCUUAUCAAGGCCGAGGAUGGUGCGCUGAAUCGCAGGUUGCUGCACAAGGUGCUAAAAGGUGGGGCUUCUGCUACUACAUGCUUGCUGCUGUACCAACAAAAUUAAGAUGGUUGAACCGAUGCUGAGGCAGGAUUGGAUUUCAGCGGCGGUUGUGAGGCUUGUGUCUACAAGACACCAGGUUGCUGAUGGAUUUCGCUAUUGUUUCAGUUAUUUCUUUUGAUGUAUAUACUGAUGAAAUAUGCAAGAUGUAAAUAUUACACCUGUAGGUUGUUUACAAAUGAAUCUUGAAUAUCUGUAAUUUGUCACCUUAGUACAUCACUAUUGUUAUUAUUGUAUAA